This 70-nucleotide transfer RNA is filed under the name Marmota monax (woodchuck). Its description in RNAcentral is "tRNA.Ala". Lineage: Eukaryota; Metazoa; Chordata; Mammalia; Rodentia; Sciuridae. The record is from RNAcentral.
GGGGUGCAGCUCAGUGGUAGAGUGCUUGCCUUGCAUGUGUGAGGCACUGGGUUCAAUCCUUAGCACCACA